Molecule: ribosomal RNA, 208 nt
Filed under: Plasmodium falciparum (malaria parasite P. falciparum)
Lineage: Eukaryota; Apicomplexa; Aconoidasida; Haemosporida; Plasmodiidae
Description: partial 18S ribosomal RNA
Source: RNAcentral
UACACAAUGAACUCAAUCAUGACUACCCGUCUGUUAUGAACACUUAAUUUUACUCAAAGUAACAAAACCUCUCAAAAGCAAUAAAAGCAUAUUGAAGAGAUUUUAAAAAAGAUUCUGUCAUAUCUGAUAAAAACAUAAUUUAUUAGAAAACCUUAUUUUGAACAAAGCAAAAUAUAUAAUAUAUUUGGUUUUCCCAAACCAGUUUAAA